Molecule: ribosomal RNA, 844 nt
Filed under: uncultured Acidobacteriota bacterium
Lineage: Bacteria; Pseudomonadati; Acidobacteriota
Description: bacterial SSU rRNA
Rfam family: Bacterial small subunit ribosomal RNA
Source: RNAcentral
CAAGUCGAGCGAGAAAGGGGGGGCAACUCCCUGAGUAAAGCGGCGCACGGGUGAGUAACACGUGGGUAAUCUGCCCUGGAGUGGGGAAUAACACCGGGAAACCGGUGCUAAUACCGCAUACGAUAAUGAGGUCUGCGGACUUUGUUAUGAAAGGAGCAAUUCGCUCUAGGAGGAGCCCGCGGCUGAUUAGCUAGUUGGUGAGGUAAUGGCUCACCAAGGCUACGAUCAGUAUCCGGUCUGAGAGGACGGUCGGACACACUGGAACUGAGACACGGUCCAGACUCCUACGGGAGGCAGCAGUGGGGAAUUUUUGGCAAUGGGGGCAACCCUGACCAAGCAACGCCGCGUGGGUGAUGAAGUCUCUUGGGACGUAAAACCCUUUCGACGGGGAAGAAAACCGCAAGGUUUGACGGUACCCGUAGAAGAAGCCCCGGCUAACUCCGUGCCAGCAGCCGCGGUAAUACGGGGGGGGCAAGCGUUGUUCGGAAUUACUGGGCGUAAAGGGCGCGUAGGCGGUCCGCUAAGUUGGAUGUGAAAACUCUGGGCUUAACCCAGAGCCUGCAUUCAAAACUGACGGGCUAGAGUUCUGGAGGGGGUAGCGGAAUUCCUGGUGUAGCGGUGAAAUGCGUAGAUAUCAGGAGGAACACCGGUGGCGAAGGCGGCUACCUGGACAGAAACUGACGCUGAGGCGCGAAAGCUAGGGGAGCAAACAGGAUUAGAUACCCUGGUAGUCCUAGCCCUAAACGAUGGAUACUUGGUGUGACUGGGAUUGAAUCCAGUCGUGCCGAAGCUAACGCAUUAAGUAUCCCGCCUGGGGAUACGGUCGCAAGGCUGAACUCAAGGA